Molecule: long non-coding RNA, 1306 nt
Filed under: Linum usitatissimum (flax)
Lineage: Eukaryota; Viridiplantae; Streptophyta; Magnoliopsida; Malpighiales; Linaceae
Description: long non-coding RNA (LUSI_LNC008222)
Source: RNAcentral
GAAUUUUUUGUUUGAGUUUUGGUUUAAUGGUGGUGGAAUAAAAUUUUAAGGAAAUUUGAGAGGGGAAGAAGAUGAGAAGAAGAGGGAAAAAAGGAAGUAGGACUGACACGUCAGCUUUGGUGAAUUUAAGGCGGGGUUGUAUGGAAUUUUUAUCGACUACGGCGCGGAGUAGUGAACCUGGAGAAGAAGUGAAAAACUCAAAACUAGUCGGAUUGACUCACGGUCGACCCAAUUGAAUCAACCAAUAUGGUUGCCGUUGAGUUAAUUAGUUAAUUUAAAAAUUCAAACACAAAAUAAGACCACCUUCUGUUAAUGUAAUACAUAGGAGGAGGAGGAGACAAUGAUGUAGGCAAUUGAGUUGAUAUGAGUUGUGCUGUAUUAGGUUUAGCUCGGAGUAUGGUAUACUAAGGUGGAGAUGACCGCAUCAGAGCGAAAGCAGGAAUGGGGGGACCCGUCGUACUGAGAUAUUUUAAUUUUUCCCACUGAGAAGAGAACACUUCCCAUCCGUCAGUGGACUUUCCACUACUGCAAAUUUCCAUGCAACCUCCAGUUUUGACUUUCCACCACUGCUACAAGCAUAAACGGGAGGUUUCUCCGGCGGGGAUUAAGCUCGCCGGAGAAAAAGGUUAGUAUGAUGCAUGAAUUAUUCAAUUACAGUUUAUAUAUAGGCUUGGCUGUUACAGUUGAUUAAUCGGAUAAUGAAUUGAGUACGAUUCGAUCUUGUUAAGGCUCUAUCAUGUCACAUGUUGAUGAAGUCGCGGAUUACUAGUCCAUCAGGUUGCGAAUUGAGUGAGUUACAAGUUAACAAUUCAGAUUAUGGCCUCAUCAGGUUACCAAGUGGGUGAGCUAUGAGUUGGUAUGUUUUAUCCACACGAGCCACAGAUCGAGCUGGAUCAGGAUAGGCAGGUUUGCCAGCCGAUAAUCAAUUCGAGUUAAGAGCGAGGCUCCAUAAGCAGGUACAUACAUUAAAGCUGAGAGAUAGACAUGAACAAGUUACAACAGGAUGGUAUGACAAACACAUCAUCAAAUUUUGAUAACAUUGUUGUCCAAACAACCAUUGAUUUGAUUGAAUCACAACAAGAGAAACAGAAGAACAACAAACUCAGAACUCAGAAACUGAGAAAUCACAGUUGGUGGUGUUUUAUGUCCAUCAGAGAGUAUUUCUAAUGAAAAAGUAGGCAGGGUAAACAAAGAGGAGAACAAUUCCGAUGGUGUUGGAGAUUCCUGCUUCUCUGGUGAAGGCGUUCCUGAACCCGCCGGAGGCUCUGAUGUGUUCUUGCAGCAAGUAGCAGGCUAUCCCGAGGCA